UAUCUCGGCUCUUGCAUCGAUGAAGAACGUARCGAAAUGCGAUACUUGGUGUGAAUUGCAGAAUCCCGUGAACCAUCGAGUCUUUGAACGCAAGUUGCGCCUGAAGCCAUUAGGUUGAAGGCACGUCUGCCUGGGCGUCACGCAUUGCGUCACCCACUCCCCCGUGCCUGAGCGGGCAUG
Molecule: ribosomal RNA, 180 nt
Filed under: Gaultheria heteromera
Lineage: Eukaryota; Viridiplantae; Streptophyta; Magnoliopsida; Ericales; Ericaceae
Description: 5.8S ribosomal RNA
Rfam family: 5.8S ribosomal RNA (bases 1-140)
About the family: 5.8S ribosomal RNA (5.8S rRNA) is a component of the large subunit of the eukaryotic ribosome.
Source: RNAcentral